Molecule: long non-coding RNA, 501 nt
Organism: Phascolarctos cinereus (koala)
Lineage: Eukaryota; Metazoa; Chordata; Mammalia; Diprotodontia; Phascolarctidae
Source: RefSeq, a predicted model, not a curated record
UGCUCCACAGAGCCUGCUUCAGCCACCCUCAUGAAGGAGUGGCUCUCUGGAAGGGAGAUGGAAAGGGACACUUUGGGAAAUGUUGUUAUAAGGGUCAAAAGAGAUACCAUGUAAAGUACUUUGCAAAGUUUAAAGUGCUAUAUAAAUGCUCCUGCUGCUGCUGCUACUGAUGACGACGACGACGACGAUGACAACGAUGAUGAUGAUGAUGAUACUGACAAAACCAACCUUUGAGGCUGGAGUCCAAUUUAAUGAGAAGUAGAGAAGACUUGGAAGCUUGGAGUAAGAAGAUAUCAGCCCAGGUGACAAAUGUCAUUGACUCCUCUCUUCAUUACAAUAGACUCUGAGGGGUGGGGAAGCUGUGGUCUCAGGGCCACAAGUGGCCUUCUAGGUCCUUGGGUGCAGCCUUUAAACUGAAUCCGAGUUUUACAGAAUGAAUCCUUUUAUUAAGGGGAUUUGUUCUGAGAAGUUUGGAUUCAGUCAAAGGGCUGGCCUCGAGGC